This 71-nucleotide transfer RNA is filed under the name Acanthurus guttatus (whitespotted surgeonfish). Its description in RNAcentral is "tRNA-Gln". It matches the Rfam family "tRNA". Rfam says of the family: Transfer RNA (tRNA) molecules are approximately 80 nucleotides in length. Their secondary structure includes four short double-helical elements and three loops (D, anti-codon, and T loops). Further hydrogen bonds mediate the characteristic L-shaped molecular structure. tRNAs have two regions of fundamental functional importance: the anti-codon, which is responsible for specific mRNA codon recognition, and the 3' end, to which the tRNAs corresponding amino acid is attached (by aminoacyl-tRNA synthetases). tRNAs cope with the degeneracy of the genetic code in two manners: having more than one tRNA (with a specific anti-codon) for a particular amino acid; and 'wobble' base-pairing, i.e. permitting non-standard base-pairing at the 3rd anti-codon position. The record is from RNAcentral. Lineage: Eukaryota; Metazoa; Chordata; Actinopteri; Acanthuriformes; Acanthuridae. RNAcentral also lists the same sequence under 1 other name.
UAGGAAGUGGUGUAGCGGAAGCACUAAGAGUUUUGAUCUCUUUAGGUGGGGUUCGAAUCCCCUCUUUCUAA